UUGUCGUCAGCUCGUGUCGUGUAGAUGUGGUUAAGUCCCGCAACGAGCGCAACCCUAUUGUUAGUUGCCAUCAUUCAGUUGGGCACUCUAGCGAGACUGCCGGUAAUAAACCGGAGGAAGGUGGGGAUGACGUCAAAUCAUCAUGCCCCUUAUGACCUGGGCUACACACGUGCUACAAUGGUUGGUACAACGAGUUGCGAGUCGGUGACGGCGAGCUAAUCUCUUAAAGCCAAUCUCAGUUCGGAUUGUAGGCUGCAACUCGCCUACAUGAAGUCGGAAUCGCUAGUAAUCGCGGAUCAGCACGCCGCGGUGAAUACGUUCCCGGGCCUU
Molecule: ribosomal RNA, 330 nt
Filed under: uncultured Streptococcus sp.
Lineage: Bacteria; Bacillati; Bacillota; Bacilli; Lactobacillales; Streptococcaceae
Description: bacterial SSU rRNA
Rfam family: Bacterial small subunit ribosomal RNA
Source: RNAcentral